CUAAGAGGCCAAACGUGUAACAGUCUCUCUCCCAUACUCUUUCUCUCCCUUUAUGAACUCUUUCUAUUCCAGACAUCUUCUCAACACAACAAUUUUCAUCCGACAACCAGGUUUACUAAUGGUCUUUUUUCUCUUUUUGUUAUGUAGAAUCAAAUAUUUGCAGGAAUACUAAUGGUCUUUUUCUUAAGUUGUUGAAUCUGAUCCAUUGAUGUCUGAUAACCGCUCAAACAAAAAAAUGGAAGAAAAGAUGUGUGACUUUGACUGUAAUUUGUUUCUUUUCUAAGAAAGAUAUGGUAUUUAGCAAAGAGUCUGUCAAAAAUAAUGAAAGUUAGAUAAAGAAGAAGAAAGAGUCUGUCAAAGAGGAGAGAGAGGAGUAAUUGUAUUUAGCAAAAAAUUAAAAUUCAUUUGCAUAGAUAUGAAUGUAAAGAGAAAAGAAAAGGAAGAAAUAUAGCAAGAGUGAUUGUGUCCUUCAAGACAAAAAAAUAAAAAUAAAGAGAGUUAUCAGUGGAUGAAGAGAAGAUGAUGAGUGUGGCGGCUAGGAAGAACUUCCCUGUUAGAGCAUCUCCAAUGGUUGAGGAAUGCUAUCAAGUAAUGGCCAAUUGAAAAAUCAAACAGGUAAAUUAUAAAAUAAAGGUACUACAUCAUUAUUACCUCCUUUUAAGAUGUAACAUUUAUCAAUAGCUUUGAUCAUUUAAACAAUAUUUAGCUGCUUUAGGUUAUAGAUAACAUGCUAUUAUCGAGACAAUUAAAUAACAUGCUUAAUAUUGGGAACUGGAUUUAUGGUUAACAACUCUUCUUUCCUGCUACAGAUUAGAAAUCUAAGUUGACACGACUAUGGAUGUUUGCAGUUUAUCAUUUGUAUUGUCAAAUCAACAUUAAAUGCAGUUUGUUUGGACAACCAUUUAUCCAUGUUGGACAGUCCUUUAUGAAGGAAUAUAAUAAAGCUAUUGCAAUGGUACAGUGACUUUUACAAUUUUCACUUUAUCAUAUUGAAUAAUACUAAAUAAUUAUUCAAACAAUUAACUUUUUAUUCC
Vicia villosa (hairy vetch) is the source of this 1034-nucleotide long non-coding RNA. RefSeq lists it as uncharacterized. The transcript has 3 exons. Lineage: Eukaryota; Viridiplantae; Streptophyta; Magnoliopsida; Fabales; Fabaceae. The record is from RefSeq and is a predicted model, not a curated record.